GACGAACGCUGGCGGCGUGCUUAACACAUGCAAGUCGAACGGAAAGGCCCUGCUUGCAGGGUACUCGAGUGGCGAACGGGUGAGUAACACGUGGGUGAUCUGCCCUGCACUUCGGGAUAAGCCUGGGAAACUGGGUCUAAUACCGGAUAGGAGCCAUUUUUCGUGUGAUGGUUGGAAAGUUUUUUCGGUGUAGGAUGAGCUCGCGGCCUAUCAGCUUGUUGGUGGGGUAAUGGCCUACCAAGGCGGCGACGGGUAGCCGGCCUGAGAGGGUGGACGGCCACAUUGGGACUGGGAUACGGACCAGACUCCUACGGGAGGCAGCAGUGGGGAAUAUUGCACAAUGGGCGCAAGCCUGAUGCAGCGACGCCGCGUGGGGGAUGACGGCCUUCGGGUUGUAAACUCCUUUCGCUAGGGACGAAGCUUUUUGUGACGGUACCUAGAUAAGAAGCACCGGCUAACUACGUG
This 465-nucleotide ribosomal RNA is filed under the name uncultured bacterium. Its description in RNAcentral is "partial 16S ribosomal RNA". It matches the Rfam family "Bacterial small subunit ribosomal RNA", at positions 28 to 507 of the family's 1533-position model. The record is from RNAcentral.